This is a non-coding RNA of Oryza sativa Japonica Group (Japanese rice), 1846 nucleotides long. Lineage: Eukaryota; Viridiplantae; Streptophyta; Magnoliopsida; Poales; Poaceae. The record is from RefSeq and is a predicted model, not a curated record.
GUCGCCGGUCCUCGUCUCCUCCUCUAUCUAUAUAAAAAAAAAAAACCUUCUAGAAGAAGCUUCCCGCCUCAACCCUCAAGCCGCGCGGAUCGAUCGCUUCUAGAAGCUUCCGCCUCCGCCGCCGCGGGCCAUGGACGCGCGAGGAGGCCACCACCGCGACGACGAAGGCGAUGAGGAGGCGGCCGGCCGGCGCCGGCGCCGACGGGGGUGCCACGGCGCCGCUCCUCGCCGGCGUCGCGCCGUUGGGUUACUCGGGCCACCGCUGGAGCCACGCGGGCGACCUGCACGUCCUCUCCGCCGCGUUCCUCUUCAUCUUCUCCGCCUACUGCGCCGCGCAGAACCUCCAGAGCUCGGUCAACACCGAGGGCGACCUGGGCACGGUGUCCAUGGGGAUCCUGUACACCUCCUUCACGCUCUUCGCGGUGACCGCGUCGCCCGUGGUCACGUGGCUCGGCUCCAAGCGCGCGCUCGUCGUCGGCACCAGCGGCUACGUCAUCUUCAUCCUCGCUAACCUCGUCCCGACAUGGUACACAAUGGUGCCAGCCUCCCUGUAUCUGGGUUUUUCUGCAUCGAUCAUCUGGGUUGGGCAGGGUACAUAUCUCACGUCUGCUGCCCUCAGUCAUGCAAGAGACAAUAAUUUGCCUGAAGGCCAAACUUUGGGGAACUUCAAUGGAGAGUUCUGGGGAAUGUUUGCUAGCACACAGGUCAUCGGAAAUCUGAUCUCUCUUGCACUACUGAGAGAUGGAAAGGUUAGAUGAAGUGUCACGGGGAAAAAUCUGCUGUUUGUUGUGUUUCUUGGCUGCAUGAUUGUCGGCAUUGUAUUAAUGUGUUUACUUUCCAAAAGGGAUGAGAAAGGAAAUACUGCUCCAACACAUUCCUCAUUUGGGGCCAUGAUGAAGUAUAUUGUUGCCCCUCUCAAGGACCGAAGGAUGAUUCUUAUCAUCCCUCUUAUAGUAUAUUCAGGAUUACAAGCGGCAUUUGUAUGGGCUGUAUUCACUAAAAAUAUUGUAACACCUGUUCUUGGCGUCUCUGGAGUUGGCGGAGCCAUGGCAAUAUAUGGUGCAGCCGAUGCUGUUUGUGCAUUGGUUGCUGGACGUUUGACCUCUGGGCUUCAUUCAGCUACAUCUAUCGUUUCGGUUGGAGCUAUUCUUCAUGCUGUAGUCCUGUUCUGGUUACUUCUUUUUUACAGUCCAAUGGGUGGAUUGCUUGGUGCGGCAGUUCCACUGUUUAUAGGUGCUUUAUGGGGUGUUGGUGAUGGUGUCUUACAUACACAGUUAAGCGCAUUACUUGGGCUGCUGUUCGAGGAUGUCAAGGAGGCAGCUUUUGCACAGUGGAGGGUUUGGCAAUCGGGUGCCAUCGCAGUCAUCUUCUUCCUGAGCCCAAAUAUCACGCUACAAGCCAUGCUUAUCUUGAUGGCCAUUGCGCUCAUCAUCUCUUUCGGCUCAUUCUUGUUACUUACACUUGUUGUGGAGAAGCCAUCGACCACCAGAUCGUGAGGAAAUCCUUUUGUCCAACAGAAACCAAUUCCAAAGUGGUGCCAAUUUCACCGCACAUCUUCUUCAUCAGUGUUACCAACAACCUAAGCAGCACACACUGUAUGCACGAGCGAUACGAAACCAAAAGGAAAUGAAGUAUCUGUCAGUUGAUGUACAACACAACACCCCUCUGUCUGCCAUUUGUUUCAGCGAUUUUUUUGCUGAAUUGAAGUGAUUGCAUUCAAAAUUGGGAAGUCGGCCUUGUAGCAAAUCUUGUUUGGUACCGUUGUUUCUGUUCCGUGGUUGUUUGUACCAAUCUAACAGCAAUCAAAUAUAUAUGUUUGUAAUAGCUGCUUUUUUGUUCUGAAAAA